Molecule: ribosomal RNA, 274 nt
Filed under: uncultured bacterium
Lineage: Bacteria
Description: partial 16S ribosomal RNA
Rfam family: Bacterial small subunit ribosomal RNA
Source: RNAcentral
AUACAGAGGGUGCAAGCGUUAUUCGGAAUUACUGGGCGUAAAGCGCGCGUAGGCGGAUGAUUAAGUCAGUUGUGAAAGCCCUGGGCUCAACCUAGGAACUGCAUCUGAUACUGGUCGUCUAGAGUUUAAGAGAGGGAAGUGGAAUUCCAGGUGUAGCAGUGAAAUGCGUAGAUAUCUGGAGGAACAUCAGUGGCGAAGGCGACUUCCUGGCUUAAAACUGAUGCUGAGGUGCGAAAGCGUGGGUAGCGAACGGGAUUAGAUACCCUAGUAGUCC